ACGCGAAGAACCUUACCUGGGUUUGAACUUCAGUGGCAAGGCUCAGAGAUGAGUCCCUCCCUUCGGGGAUCGCUGGAGAGGUGCUGCAUGGCUGUCGUCAGCUCGUGUCGUGAGAUGUUGGGUUAAGUCCCGCAACGAGCGCAACCCUUGUCCAUAGUUACUAACGGGUCAUGCCGAGAACUCUAUGGAGACUGCCGGUGAUAAACCGGAGGAAGGUGGGGAUGACGUCAAGUCCUCAUGGCCUUUAUGUCCAGGGCUACACACGUGCUACAAUGGACGGCACAAAGAGUCGCAAAACCGCGAGGUUGAGCUAAUCUCAAAAAACCGUUCUCAGUUCGGAUUGCAGUCUGCAACUCGACUGCAUGAAGCUGGAAUCGCUAGUAAUCGCGGAUCAGCACGCCGCGGUGAAUACGUUCCCGGGCCUUGUA
Molecule: ribosomal RNA, 428 nt
Filed under: uncultured Acidobacterium sp.
Lineage: Bacteria; Pseudomonadati; Acidobacteriota; Terriglobia; Terriglobales; Acidobacteriaceae
Description: bacterial SSU rRNA
Rfam family: Bacterial small subunit ribosomal RNA
Source: RNAcentral